This 1569-nucleotide ribosomal RNA is filed under the name Staphylococcus aureus. RNAcentral's name for it is "partial 23S ribosomal RNA". It matches the Rfam family "Bacterial large subunit ribosomal RNA", at positions 1358 to 2925 of the family's 2925-position model. Lineage: Bacteria; Bacillati; Bacillota; Bacilli; Caryophanales; Staphylococcaceae. The record is from RNAcentral. RNAcentral also lists the same sequence under 1 other name.
AGGAAGGCUCGUCCGCUCUGGGUUAGUCGGGUCCUAAGCUGAGGCCGACAGGCGUAGGCGAUGGAUAACAGGUUGAUAUUCCUGUACCACCUAUAAUCGUUUUAAUCGAUGGGGGGACGCAGUAGGAUAGGCGAAGCGUGCGAUUGGAUUGCACGUCUAAGCAGUAAGGCUGAGUAUUAGGCAAAUCCGGUACUCGUUAAGGCUGAGCUGUGAUGGGGAGAAGACAUUGUGUCUUCGAGUCGUUGAUUUCACACUGCCGAGAAAAGCCUCUAGAUAGAAAAUAGGUGCCCGUACCGCAAACCGACACAGGUAGUCAAGAUGAGAAUUCUAAGGUGAGCGAGCGAACUCUCGUUAAGGAACUCGGCAAAAUGACCCCGUAACUUCGGGAGAAGGGGUGCUCUUUAGGGUUAACGCCCAGAAGAGCCGCAGUGAAUAGGCCCAAGCGACUGUUUAUCAAAAACACAGGUCUCUGCUAAACCGUAAGGUGAUGUAUAGGGGCUGACGCCUGCCCGGUGCUGGAAGGUUAAGAGGAGUGGUUAGCUUCUGCGAAGCUACGAAUCGAAGCCCCAGUAAACGGCGGCCGUAACUAUAACGGUCCUAAGGUAGCGAAAUUCCUUGUCGGGUAAGUUCCGACCCGCACGAAAGGCGUAACGAUUUGGGCACUGUCUCAACGAGAGACUCGGUGAAAUCAUAGUACCUGUGAAGAUGCAGGUUACCCGCGACAGGACGGAAAGACCCCGUGGAGCUUUACUGUAGCCUGAUAUUGAAAUUCGGCACAGCUUGUACAGGAUAGGUAGGAGCCUUUGAAACGUGAGCGCUAGCUUACGUGGAGGCGCUGGUGGGAUACUACCCUAGCUGUGUUGGCUUUCUAACCCGCACCACUUAUCGUGGUGGGAGACAGUGUCAGGCGGGCAGUUUGACUGGGGCGGUCGCCUCCUAAAAGGUAACGGAGGCGCUCAAAGGUUCCCUCAGAAUGGUUGGAAAUCAUUCAUAGAGUGUAAAGGCAUAAGGGAGCUUGACUGCGAGACCUACAAGUCGAGCAGGGUCGAAAGACGGACUUAGUGAUCCGGUGGUUCCGCAUGGAAGGGCCAUCGCUCAACGGAUAAAAGCUACCCCGGGGAUAACAGGCUUAUCUCCCCCAAGAGUUCACAUCGACGGGGAGGUUUGGCACCUCGAUGUCGGCUCAUCGCAUCCUGGGGCUGUAGUCGGUCCCAAGGGUUGGGCUGUUCGCCCAUUAAAGCGGUACGCGAGCUGGGUUCAGAACGUCGUGAGACAGUUCGGUCCCUAUCCGUCGUGGGCGUAGGAAAUUUGAGAGGAGCUGUCCUUAGUACGAGAGGACCGGGAUGGACAUACCUCUGGUGUACCAGUUGUCGUGCCAACGGCAUAGCUGGGUAGCUAUGUGUGGACGGGAUAAGUGCUGAAAGCAUCUAAGCAUGAAGCCCCCCUCAAGAUGAGAUUUCCCAACUUCGGUUAUAAGAUCCCUCAAAGAUGAUGAGGUUAAUAGGUUCGAGGUGGAAGCAUGGUGACAUGUGGAGCUGACGAAUACUAAUCGAUCGAAGACUUAAUCAA